RNAcentral lists this long non-coding RNA (570 nucleotides) under Selaginella moellendorffii. RNAcentral's name for it is "long non-coding RNA (SMOE_LNC000381)". Lineage: Eukaryota; Viridiplantae; Streptophyta; Lycopodiopsida; Selaginellales; Selaginellaceae. The record is from RNAcentral.
CAAACUUGGGACUGCAAAGCAACAACAUCACCAGCAAGCAAUCAACAUGAGGGUAUUCAAGGGUAGUGUAUGUGCGCUCCCAUUCAUCAUGGUUGUGAUUGCAUUGGCCACCGGAGGUGUGGGAGCGCUCACUAACAUCACUACGUAUGUUUUACCAGGUUGUGUUGUAGCAACUGGUACGUACUCCAGUUGUGGUCAGUGCCAGACUCUAGCAGUAGCAACUGGAGGUUACAAGAUUGGCUUUGAUGGAAAGCCUAUGCGGAUUUACACAUUACCAGCUUGUCAAGGUCAGGGUGCAGUGAUAGGGCAAGACCACGAAGCAUGUGGUGUGGCUACAGUUCCCAUCCUCAGCUUCUUUAUACGCUGCUGACAAUGUCCCUCUAGAUGGGCGCUGCAAGACCUCGUGAGAUGCUGUGUGAAUUUUCUUUCUCAUUUCCUAUUGAAUAAAUGAGAGACAGUUGUGUUUAGAGAAAUCACUGCCAAUUAUCAAUUUUCACGUGCUUGUUCAGUCUGCUUCCAUGGCAGCCUUGAACGCUCUAUGCGUAGUUUGAGAUGCUGGCGGGUCGACGC